Molecule: ribosomal RNA, 293 nt
Filed under: Paraeuchaeta media
Lineage: Eukaryota; Metazoa; Arthropoda; Copepoda; Calanoida; Euchaetidae
Description: partial 16S rRNA
Source: RNAcentral
AAUUAGUUUUUUAAUUGAAAAAUAGAAUGAAUGAGAAUAUUAAAUUAGUAAUUUCUAUUACAAAAAAUAAAUUUUUAUUAUUGGUGAAAAUACCAAUACAAGCUUUUUAGACAAAAAGACCCUAUGAAGCUUUUUAGAUAAGUAGCUUAUAAAAAUAAAAAUCUAUUAUUUGGGGUAAAUGUUAAUAAAAUUAUUAUAAUUUUUAGAAUAAAAGAUAUCCUUUAGGAAUAAUGAAAUAGCUCCUCUAGGGAUAACAGCAUAAUAAUUAUUAAAGUCCAUAUUUAUAUAAUUGA